This 515-nucleotide ribosomal RNA is filed under the name fungal sp. 9OMt12-1B. Its description in RNAcentral is "eukaryotic LSU rRNA". The stretch from base 149 to 302 matches the Rfam family "5.8S ribosomal RNA". Lineage: Eukaryota; Fungi. The record is from RNAcentral.
CCGAGUUUACAACUCCCAAACCCCUGUGAACAUACCACUUGUUGCCUCGGCGGAUCAGCCCGCUCCCGGUAAAACGGGACGGCCCGCCAGAGGACCCCUAAACUCUGUUUCUAUAUGUAACUUCUGAGUAAAACCAUAAAUAAAUCAAAACUUUCAACAACGGAUCUCUUGGUUCUGGCAUCGAUGAAGAACGCAGCAAAAUGCGAUAAGUAAUGUGAAUUGCAGAAUUCAGUGAAUCAUCGAAUCUUUGAACGCACAUUGCGCCCGCCAGUAUUCUGGCGGGCAUGCCUGUUCGAGCGUCAUUUCAACCCUCAAGCACAGCUUGGUGUUGGGACUCGCGUUAAUUCGCGUUCCCCAAAUUGAUUGGCGGUCACGUCGAGCUUCCAUAGCGUAGUAGUAAAACCCUCGUUACUGGUAAUCGUCGCGGCCACGCCGUUAAACCCCAACUUCUGAAUGUUGACCUCGGAUCAGGUAGGAAUACCCGCUGAACUUAAGCAUAUCAUUAAAGCGGAGGA